UUUGCAGAUAACAAAAUGCAUCAAUCCUAAGGAGAUGUUUUUUGCUCUUCUUCUCCUUUAAUUUGCUAUGGGUCAAAUUACAAAUUCGACCUUUGUGUCUUAAUCAACAUACAAGGAAAAAAGAUCCCGAAUUCAUUUUUUGUGUCUCAAUCAAUGUUAGAAGAAAAAAAAAGAGAUAUGAGUUUGUGGACUUUCAAUUUGAGAGGUGUGUGUAUUCCAGAAGGAGAAUAAUAAUCAAAGGUUUGUAUUUUCGUUUUGUGUCCUUUUUUUUCAUAAUAA
This is a long non-coding RNA of Trifolium pratense (red clover), 279 nucleotides long. RefSeq lists it as uncharacterized. The transcript has 4 exons. The record is from RefSeq and is a predicted model, not a curated record. Lineage: Eukaryota; Viridiplantae; Streptophyta; Magnoliopsida; Fabales; Fabaceae.